GACGAACGCUGGCGGCGUGCCUAACACAUGCAAGUCGAACGGAAAGGCCCUGCUUUUGUGGGGUGCUCGAGUGGCGAACGGGUGAGUAACACGUGAGUAACCUGUACCUGACGUUGGGAUAACUUCAGGAAACUGGGGCUCAUACCGGAUAGGAGCUAUUGCUGCACGGUGGGGGUUGGAAAGUUUCGGCGGUUGGGGAUGGACUCGCGGCUUAUCAGCUUGUUGGUGGGGUAGUGGCUUACCAAGGCUUUGACGGGUAGGCGGCCUGGGCGGGUGACCGGCCACAUUACGCCUGCGAUACGGCCCAGUCUCCUACGGGACGCAACGGUGGAGAGUAUUGCACAGUGGGCGGGAGCCUGAUGCGACGGCGCCGCGUGCGGGAAAACGUCCUUCUGGUUGUAAACCACUUUCGCCUGAGACGAGGCGUGAGUGACGGUACUGGGUAAAGAAGCACCGGCUAACUACGUG
This 468-nucleotide ribosomal RNA is filed under the name uncultured bacterium. RNAcentral describes it as "partial 16S ribosomal RNA". It matches the Rfam family "Bacterial small subunit ribosomal RNA", at positions 28 to 507 of the family's 1533-position model. The record is from RNAcentral.